AUGAAUUGCUAAGGACGUUCUUUUUAGAAGUCCGACCCAACUUCAUUCUCACCCACACUGUGCACACACACACACACUUUACACCCACACCUUUAAAACUCGUAUAAAAAGUAGUACAAGAAUGUAAAAGUCUCUUAAUUGAGCAUAAACAAAUAAAU
This 158-nucleotide unclassified non-coding RNA is filed under the name Hasegawazyma lactosa. RNAcentral describes it as "ITS 1". The record is from RNAcentral. Lineage: Eukaryota; Fungi; Basidiomycota; Cystobasidiomycetes; Erythrobasidiales.